This is a non-coding RNA of Salvelinus sp. IW2-2015, 356 nucleotides long. The record is from RefSeq and is a predicted model, not a curated record. Lineage: Eukaryota; Metazoa; Chordata; Actinopteri; Salmoniformes; Salmonidae.
GCAUAUUUUUAUCCGCCGUUACUAAAUUAGGAAGCCAGAGAGAGCAAACGGAGGGUGUCUGCCAAGGCAGAAGAAGAAGGGUCUGCUCAGGCCUGGGUUUGCUGAGGACCCGUGCCAGCCCUGCCAGGUUCAUUAAGAGCCACUUGGGUUUCAGAAAUAGAAGCCCAACAGGGACMCAAGCCAAACAGGACCCAGGACAGCCCGGCCAAAAACUCACGGGACAAACAAACAAAUAAACUGCUUUCUUAUGCACUGCCAGAGUCAACCGGCAGCAGCCACCCUAAGGAGCUAUUAUAAGUUAUCUUGGGCAGUUCUGCAAACAAGGACACCUACACCACCCGAUGUCACAGGAAGGU